Octodon degus (degu) is the source of this 208-nucleotide small nucleolar RNA. Its record names the gene U3. It matches the Rfam family "Small nucleolar RNA U3". Rfam says of the family: Small nucleolar RNAs (snoRNAs) are involved in the processing and modification of rRNA in the nucleolus. There are two main classes of snoRNAs: the box C/D class, and the box H/ACA class. NCBI's taxonomy places the organism in Eukaryota, Metazoa, Chordata, Mammalia, Rodentia, Octodontidae. The record is from Ensembl.
AAGGCUACACUUUCAGGGAUCAUUUCUAUAGUAUGUUACUAGAGAAGUUUCUCUGAUCAUGUAGAGUACAAGAAACCACAAGCAGGAGGCGUAGUGUUCUUUCCUGAGUGUGAAGCUGGCUCUCAUGUUGCUAUGCCACAUGCCAUUGAUUAUUGUUUUUGCUUUCUCUUUGGAGGGAGUAAGAGGGAAGGAAUGCAGUCUGAGUGGG